UGGGGAAUUUUGGACAAUGGGCGCAAGCCUGAUCCAGCCAUGCCGCGUGCGGGAAGAAGGCCUUCGGGUUGUAAACCGCUUUUGUCAGGGAAGAAAUCUUCUGAGUUAGUACCUCGGGAGGAUGACGGUACCUGAAGAAUAAGCACCGGCUAACUACGUGCCAGCAGCCGCGGUAAUACGUAGGGUGCAAGCGUUAAUCGGAAUUACUGGGCGUAAAGCGUGCGCAGGCGGUUUUGUAAGACAGAGGUGAAAUCCCCGGGCUCAACCUGGGAACUGCCUUUGUGACUGCAAGGCUUGAGUGCGGCAGAGGGGGAUGGAAUUCCGCGUGUAGCAGUGAAAUGCGUAGAUAUGCGGAGGAACACCGAUGGCGAAGGCAAUCCCCUGGGCCUGCACUGACGCUCAUGCACGAAAGCGUGGGGAGCAAAACCAGGAUUAGAUAGCCCUGGUAGUCCACGCCCUAAACGAUGUCAACUGGUUGUUGGGAAGGUUCCUUCUCAGUAACGUAGCUAACGCGUGAAGUUGACUGCCUGGGGAGUACGG
This 540-nucleotide ribosomal RNA is filed under the name uncultured bacterium. Its description in RNAcentral is "partial 16S ribosomal RNA". It matches the Rfam family "Bacterial small subunit ribosomal RNA", at positions 355 to 885 of the family's 1533-position model. The record is from RNAcentral.